GGACGGAAAAAAUUUAUAGAGAUUAUUAAUUUAUCGAGUAUUAAUUUAUAGAGGUUCUACCGUAUAAAGAAUUUCCAGUUUAGCUCAUAAUCUUAGUAGAGUAUAUUUUGUUGAUGACAAAAAAAAACAUAGCAUAUUUAACCAUCAAGUUUUUUGUUUUUGUUUUUGUUUUGUUGGGAUACUCAACUUUAUAAUAGGGAAACAAGAUUAAAAAAAAAAUCUACAAAAACGAUAUAGUUUAAAGAUGGCGUUUUUCAUUUUGAAAUAAAUGGAAGUUUAUCUGGUAGAGUUUGUUUUUUUUUUUUUAUAAAGGGGAGGGUAGAGUUUGUUUGCAUCCAACUUUAGAAAGAGUUUUGGAUUGUUUCUCAUUUGUUUCUUUCUCAGCAUUUAAUUGUAAAGAAAACUUAUCAACUAAGAAAAUUUACAUUACCAAUUUUAGCAAAAAAACGUUUUCUUGCAGUUACUCCUUGAGAUCGUUGGGAGACGUUUUCAGAAAAGAAAAAAUUAUACCAUAGACGAAAUGGUUGAAGUUACUUGGGAGACCGACAUGAAUCACACAGUGCCAAAAAUCUUCCCAUAAAAAAGUUUGUUCGUGCCUUUUCCGAUAGCUUUGGAGAAUGCUCUUGUUUGAUCGCGUGAGCAAGUGCAUGCAUAUACAUGCGCAUGAUGUAUAUGUUCUGCUUAUUCAAUCUUAUCCGUUUGUUCGCUAUGAUACAUUCCAAGAAAAGAACUUCGAUCAUUUUUCCCAAAAAAAUGAAGAUGA
Molecule: long non-coding RNA, 763 nt
Filed under: Brassica rapa (field mustard)
Lineage: Eukaryota; Viridiplantae; Streptophyta; Magnoliopsida; Brassicales; Brassicaceae
Description: long non-coding RNA (BRAP_LNC005214)
Source: RNAcentral